Molecule: ribosomal RNA, 483 nt
Filed under: uncultured bacterium
Lineage: Bacteria
Description: partial 16S ribosomal RNA
Rfam family: Bacterial small subunit ribosomal RNA
Source: RNAcentral
GACGAACGCUGGCGGCGUGCUUAACACAUGCAAGUCGAACGCUGAAGCUCAGCUUUUGUUGGGUGGAUGAGUGGCGAACGGGUGAGUAACACGUGAGUAACCUGCCCCCUUCUUUGGGAUAACGCCCGGAAACGGGUGCUAAUACUGGAUAUUCACUGGUCUUCGCCUGGGGGUUAGUGGAAAGGGUUUUUCUGGUGGGGGAUGGGCUCGCGGCCUAUCGGCUUGUUGGUGGGGUGAUGGCCUACCAAGGCUUUGACGGGUAGCCGGCCUGAGAGGGUGACCGGUCACAUUGGGACUGAGAUACGUCCCAGACUCCGCCGCGGGGCGGCAUUGGGGAAUAUUGCACAAAGGGCGCAAGACUGAUGCAGCGACGCCGCGUGAGGGAUGGGGGCCUUCGGGUUGUGAACCUCUUUCGCUCAUGGUCAAGCCGCAACAAUGGUUGUGGUGAGGGUAGUGGGUAAAGAAGCGCCGGCUAACUACGUG